GUGGGGAAUAUUGGACAAUGGGCGAAAGCCUGAUCCAGUCAUGCCGCGUGUGUGAAGAAGGUCUUCGGAUUGUAAAGCACUUUAAGUUGGGAGGAAGGGCAGUAAGUUAAUACCUUGCUGUUUUGACGUUACCGACAGAAUAAGCACCGGCUAACUUCGUGCCAGCAGCCGCGGUAAUACGAAGGGUGCAAGCGUUAAUCGGAAUUACUGGGCGUAAAGCGCGCGUAGGUGGUUUUGUAAGUUGGAGGUGAAAUCCCCGGGCUCAACCUGGGAACUGCCUCCAAAACUGCAUGACUAGAGUACGGUAGAGGGUAGUGGAAUUUCCUGUGUAGCGGUGAAAUGCGUAGAUAUAGGAAGGAACACCAGUGGCGAAGGCGACUACCUGGACUGAUACUGACACUGAGGUGCGAAAGCGUGGGGAGCAAACAGGAUUAGAAACCCCUGUAGUCC
Molecule: ribosomal RNA, 450 nt
Filed under: uncultured bacterium
Lineage: Bacteria
Description: bacterial SSU rRNA
Rfam family: Bacterial small subunit ribosomal RNA
Source: RNAcentral